This is a small nuclear RNA of Pseudophryne corroboree (corroboree frog), 112 nucleotides long. RefSeq annotates it as U5 spliceosomal RNA. The transcript has a single exon. The record is from RefSeq and is a predicted model, not a curated record. NCBI's taxonomy places the organism in Eukaryota, Metazoa, Chordata, Amphibia, Anura, Myobatrachidae.
AUGGUCUAUUUUCUCUUCAGAACAAACACAUCUUUUGCCUUUUACUAAAGGUUCCCGUGAAGAGGAGAAAAACUAAGUUGUCUCACUUAUGCGUGCCCAACUUAAUGGGGUU